UACGUAGGGUGCAAGCGUUUAUCCGGAAUUAUUGGGCGUAAAGAGCUCGUAGGCGGUUUGUCGCGUCUGCUGUGAAAACCCGAGGCUCAACCUCGGGCCUGCAGUGGGUACGGGCAGACUAGAGUGCGGUAGGGGAGAUUGGAAUUCCUGGUGUAGCGGUGGAAUGCGCAGAUAUCAGGAGGAACACCGAUGGCGAAGGCGGAUCUCUGGGCCGUAACUGACGCUGAGGAGCGAAAGCGUGGGGAGCAAACAGG
Molecule: ribosomal RNA, 254 nt
Filed under: uncultured bacterium
Lineage: Bacteria
Description: partial 16S ribosomal RNA
Rfam family: Bacterial small subunit ribosomal RNA
Source: RNAcentral